Molecule: ribosomal RNA, 245 nt
Filed under: uncultured bacterium
Lineage: Bacteria
Description: partial 16S ribosomal RNA
Rfam family: Bacterial small subunit ribosomal RNA
Source: RNAcentral
AACGUAGGUGGCAAGCGUUAUCCGGAUUCACUGGGCGUAAAGCGCACGCAGGCGGCAUAGUGGGUAGGGCAUGAAAUCUCCUGGCUUAACUGGGAGGGGUUGUCCUAUACCGCUAGGCUUGAGGAUGGGAGAGGGAAGUGGAAUUGCCGGUGUAGUGGUGAAAUGCGUAGAGAUCGGCAGGAACACCAGUGGCGAAGGCGGCUUCCUGGCCCAUUCCUGACGCUCAAGUGCGAAAGCUAGGGGAG